This is a long non-coding RNA of Prunus persica (peach), 1569 nucleotides long. RefSeq lists it as uncharacterized. NCBI's taxonomy places the organism in Eukaryota, Viridiplantae, Streptophyta, Magnoliopsida, Rosales, Rosaceae. The record is from RefSeq and is a predicted model, not a curated record. The transcript has 6 exons.
UAUGAAGAUUAGAAAUAUGCAACCAAUUCUCUAACAUAAAAUACUUAUUGAAGAAUCCCCCUUCUUUUCUUCAGUAUUAUUGACCAAACACAUUUUUAAUUAGUUGACGGAUGCGAAUUAUCGGAAUCUUUUUAGUGAUGAUGAUGCAACCCCUUCACAAACUAGACAGUUGGAGGCACAAAGUGAGUCUACUCUUCUUCUCUCAUCAGAUUUUCAGAGCUCUGCUUAAUGAUUUCCAUAUCUUCCUAUAUACGUUGUUGGUUUGGAGAAGGAUCUUACGCAAUUGGAAGAACAAAUAAUGCGCGUUAGGUGCAAACUUAGUCCAGGUCAGGUUUUGAUCAGCAUUUUUCAUCUGCCUCAUUCUCACCACUUAAUUCUUUUCCAGAGGGGAUGGGGAUGUAUUUGCUAUAGAUCCUUGCAUGAGGUAGGUGAAGGUGUCCAUCAGAUGGAUUUGUGAAGCUGAUCAACCACGAUGUGUCAUGGCAAGCACAAACUGAUAAGGAUGAAAUAUUGUGUUUGCAGGAAUCAUGAGAGAAUAUUGAUACAGACCAUUAUGUGUUGGCUGCCAGUGAUAGUAAUCUUGUAUGAGCUAGUUCUUUGCUUGUUAUGGCUGAAGAUCACAGGGUAGCCAAAGCUCAAGUCUCUGCCUUAACAACAAUUUCAACACUGCACUUGUCCAUCGUGGGGAUGUAUUUGCUAUAGAUCCUUGCACGACGAGGAAUCAUGAGAGAAUAUUGAUACAGACCAUUAUGUGUUGGCUGCCAGUGAUAGUAAUCUUGUAUGAGCUAGUUCUUUGCUUGUUAUGGCUGAAGAUCACAGGGUAGCCAAAGCUCAAGUUUCUACCUCAACAACAAUUUCAACACUGCGCUUGUCUACAAGAUUUGUGUAUGCAGGAUUUCGAGAGCGUGGAGGCUCUUCCAGAGUUGUUGGGGUAACCUUACAUCUCUUACCCAUCUGAGGUGUACAACGUGUGGUUCAUAAUGCAGGUUUCAGCCAUAUAAAUGGUCAUGGACUCUUGCAUGGUUGCAUAUCACAGAGAACAAAGGCCUCUGCUCCUAGUCUUAUUUGAUAGCAUGUCAUUUACCUAUGCUAUUGCAAGACUCAGAGUCGAGAUUGAAAAAGAAACUCAUGCAUGCGAUGUGCCUGUGGUCUAGAACUUAUUGCUUUGGACAAAAUGGGUCAACUUGUUUGUUGUUGUGGUGCAGUUUAAUGAGGAAAAGUGUUUUCCAUCAACUUCUAAGAGAAGCUCUUCUCGUAGAGAAUACUUUUCCUGGCUAGUCAAGCCCUGGUCCUCUUUCUUCGAAGAAAGAAAGUCGAAGUGCUUUUAUGGGUGACCCUUGGAUGUACUUGCUUGCUACUUGGGGUUCUAUUUCUAUAGGGAAUAAUGGGAUGAGAGAAGCGAGAUAAAUUUAGUUUGAUGGUGAAAAUCUAUUUGUUUUUUUUUUUGUCAUACUCUUUGUACUCUUUUUCUUUUGAUCAAGUGAAUUAUCAUUGAUAUCAUCGCUCGUGGAUGUAGCCAACUUUGGGUGAACCACGUUAAAUAUGGUGUUUCAUUUUGUAUUUACUUUU